CGGGAGGCAGCAGUAGGGAAUCUUCCGCAAUGGACGAAAGUCUGACGGAGCAACGCCGCGUGAGUGAAGAAGGCCUUCGGGUCGUAAAACUCUGUUGCCGGGGAAGAACAAGUGCCGUUCGAACAGGGCGGCGCCUGACGU
This 141-nucleotide ribosomal RNA is filed under the name Bacillus sp. enrichment culture clone RBG4. RNAcentral describes it as "partial 16S ribosomal RNA". It matches the Rfam family "Bacterial small subunit ribosomal RNA", at positions 342 to 485 of the family's 1533-position model. Lineage: Bacteria; Bacillati; Bacillota; Bacilli; Caryophanales; Bacillaceae. The record is from RNAcentral.